Molecule: RNA transcript, 3458 nt
Organism: Daphnia pulex (common water flea)
Lineage: Eukaryota; Metazoa; Arthropoda; Branchiopoda; Diplostraca; Daphniidae
Exons: 5
Source: RefSeq, a predicted model, not a curated record
AGUUUACCAUGAACGAAUAAGGGCGCGUCAAUGACAAAAUUCCAUGAAGGUCAUCAAGCGUAGAAGAGAAACAAACCAAACGGCUGAAAUAUCACGUACAAAAAAAGUUUAUAUCCCAAGGCAUCGCUCUGCCCAAGGCUGCGAGCGUAUCCUGUUUCUAAGUUGCUUUUAUCCUUUUUUUGUUCCCCCAGUGUGUUGACCCCGAUCAAAACUCGCUGAAAAAGCAGCUGCAACAACAAAAAAAUAUCGUUUCCCUGGGACUGACUCAUAAAAGAACUUUAUGACAAAGGAAAAUGUUCUCGAAACUUCUGAAACCGGAAAUGGCUUUCUUUUUUCCUCGAAACUUCCCAAAAAAGGAAAUGUUCCGUUCUGAUUGGUCGGCUUUUUACCCUUCCCCAGAUGCUGACUCGGAGACUCGCAUAGACGCGUAGAAAGCGUGACGAACUUGCAUAGGAACAGUGGACUGGGAUGGAGUAUAAAAAGGCCCCCCUGACGAUGCUACAGUACUUCAUUUUCUACAAGCAACCGUCGAGGCGAAAAGUGCUUCUAGAGUCUCCUAUUUUUGGUAAGUUUUAUUUCGACUUAAUUGUAAAUGUUCUACUAUGUUAAGAAAUGCUAUUUGAGUUUGUUUGUUACUUCGUCAAAAAAAUUGACUGAUCAAUUUAUUGGUCAGUCAUUUCAACUCCCAGAUAUUUUGAAGAAUUUGUUGGUAAUUUAUGUUUUUUUUCUUUCAGAAUCGCAACUUGUUCUUCGUGACUGCACAUCGCUGCACAUCGACAGGAAUGGACGGAGACUGUUUCAUAAAUUCUUGCUUUUCUUCGAUGAGCAACUCGACUGCUGAACUCACAAACAUUUCUGGAACAAACGCAGCUUCAAAAAAAUACGCAGAUCCUAAACUGAAUGCGGUAUGUAAAGUUAUGAUAGAGCGCCUUCGCCUUCCCAUCGAUUUCGAAAAAUCAUAUACAUAUCGUUCAACGAAAAAACCGCGCGUUUUUACCAUCUUUUCGGAUUCUGAAGAAGAAAUGGAGUCAAAAAUGGUAAACUUGAAAAAAACCAAGGAAAAAGUGCCAAUUAAAGGUACUAAACGACUCCUUCGGUUGUCUGAUUCUGAAGAUGAAGCAAUAACCCACAAAGACAAAAAGAGGAUCGCUCUAAACGAUUUACGUUUAGAGCCAUCGAAAAUGUCUUCAGAAUUUGUAACGGAGAAGUCGCUAAACACUCCAGAAGGAUUACGUGUCAUACGGCGAACAACUUCAUCGAAAGACGAAGAAAAUAUAACAUGCUUGACGCAAUAUCUACAAACAAAAAUUGAAGAAAUAACUCUUAGUUCCGACGAGGAAGAUUCAGAACCGAUACCACCAGUUUUGGUGCCAUUUGAACCUGAUUCCCCAUCAGAUACUGAAUCAAGUGCCAGCUCUACAGAUUGUGAUAUGCCAUCGAUAUCGCUACACUCCAACAUCACACCACCUGCUGUCGCAAGCCAAGAAGAAGAAAAAGAAUUAUCCGAAUCAAUUGAAACAAAGGAAGAAAAAUUAAAAAAUCUUCUUGCUUCUGGUAGGUUCAAAUCAAAAGAAAAAUCAACUAAACCAACAAGACCUCGGCCUUUUGUUAGCAGACGAGGGAAAAAAUUUCGCCAAAACGAAUCUACCAACUUCAAAAAGAAAAAGCCGUCAACGCUGAGACAUAAAAUUGAAGAAGAUCAGGAUCUAACAAGUUAUAACAAUUCUGUUAGACUGGCGCACCAAAAAAAUGGAUCUUCCACCACAUCCGGUGUUAACUUUCAGCCUGUUACUACAAUGGGGAAAAAAUUGCAUGAACCAAUUCCAACUUACAAACCAUUGAUUCCACAACCGCGUCCAGUAAAGGCAAAAUCAACCGCCACAUCUCGUAAUGACAAGUUGGCUGCUGAUUUGAUGAAAAGCAAAAACCAAUCCAUUAAAGAAAAGAAAGAAACCCCCAACGCAGCAUGGUCCUCAAAUUAUGUUAUUCCUCGCAAAGCGACGAAAACCAUAGAUUCUGGGUCGAAGGCUGAUUCGUCUAAAGGAAAACAUCCGUCUGAAGACGCCGAACUACUCACAAAUUCUGCAAGUGCAUCAAACGACAUUACUCCUUCCUUCAAGCCAGUGGUUAAUCGAGUAGCUAGAGGUACCGAGAAAGGAACUGAGAAACAACAUACACGACAACCUACAGCCAGUGCUACAGCCAACCGAGCCUUAAAUUCGAUCUUAAAUCUUGGUCGCUCACGUGAUGGUUCUUACGGGAAGAAAAGGGUAAGAUUUAGUGAAAGAGACAAAACUGUUUACAUAGAAAGAAGACCUUACUCAAAAAUAUUUCCAAACAGUCCCUCUGCUUAUAGAUAUGAGAAAGUAGGAGAGCACCAAUUUAAACUUAAGAGCAUAGAUAGAUCCUCUUAGUUUACAAAUAUGCAACGCAAUAAUUAACUGCAGAAAACUCAAUUGGGAUAACUGGCCAAAAGUAGGAGGGGCAACCCAAAAAAAUUCCAUUACCGAGAAACCAUUACUUUUUUAAAAUCCAUUUUCCCAUUAUACCUAAAUAAUAAUAAUUAAAAAAAAAACGCAAUGAACCGUUCUGUUGGUUAAAAAAAAAAAUACUUACCUGCAAUUAUAUGAUUUCUUAUGUGUCGCUCGUAUGUUGUAUUCCGUUGGAUCCGCGAUUCUAUUUGAAAAAUUCCACUUAAAAAGAUAUUAUCAAGAACAGAGAAACAAUGUUGGAUAAAAUGUUAAUCGCAUCAGUGCAUUACAUUAUGUUUCGAACUUAUGAUUAUUGUAUUAGUUAUGCCUUAUUGAAAAUAAACUCUGGAUAUGCUUAAAACAAAAUCCCAUUGCUACUGCUCCCUACUGCUAUUGUGACAUCAAUAUUUUCAUAGCGAACAAAAUCAAGGAUUGAAAUAUGUGAUCACUGAAGGACAGUUUAGCCUUUCCACUAAAAUAACAAUCCAUUUCGAAAUGAAGUAAAAAUUUUCCUGUUCACGGCAGAUAUACGUAUGCAUUGUAUGCAAGGUUAAACGCCUCAUUUCAUAUCUUAUCUCGCUUUUGGUGAAGUGAUUGCGUUAUCUGUGAAGAGUGAAGUAAAUUGCUAAAGCCUGUUAGUGUGUAUAGUAUUCGUGUUACCUGUGAGUACAGAUUUAAAUGGUGGAAAAUAAAAAUCAGUUUCGUAUAUUGAGGUGAAACCAUGAAAUGGUCAUUCUUUCUAUUCUUGCGUUUGUCUGCGUAAUCAAGUUGGCAGGAGGCACACAGGUAUUCUGGGAAUUACCGAAUUGUAACGCAAUCGCUGAAUAUAACGGCCACACAUUAAAAAUAGAGAGGGCAUGCGAACAAGCAUCCUCGUUAUAUACUUUCCUCCUUUACCAAACAGUAGGGUUUAAAACGGAAUGUCAAUGGACCAGCUUUACUAGACAAAGUUUUUCUAUCUGUGAGAGUUUAACAACAUUGCCACAG